GCUGGGGAGCACAUCGAACACACAGCCAGGCAGCGAGAAAGAGACGGUCUUGUGACUGUGAGAGGAGUUUUACCUUUCCCUCUGGAUGCAAAGUCCUCUGGGGUACUGCAAAAUAGAAGGUGUCUCUGCUGCAUUCUGUAUCUUCAGUUCCACAUCGGAUUCCUUUCCAUCAGACUGCCCCUCUGCUGCCAUCUGUCCACUCAGCAACAAAAUGAAAUGGUGUGAAGAUUCAGCCUCUACUGCCUUACCACCAGCAUCUGCCUCCGAUGGUAUGGACCGACACUGUAAAACAGGAGAUAUUUCUUUUAGAGCAGCCCUCAUUAAAAAUGUAAUUUUAAAUCUUUUUUUAUUCCAGACUAAAAUUUAAUCAAAAAUCCCAUUCUGUGCCCCUGUUUCAGCCUGGGCAGUGCUGAUGUCACUCUGCUGUGUGGCUGUUGUGAGCCAUGGAUGCACACCCAUGGCCAGACUGGGCUGCUUGGUAUAGCAGUGCCACUGGCAUGGUAGUGUGGGGCAGGAGUGGCUGCAGGCGGCCCAUAGCCAUGGAUUGAACAUGAUUGAGCUAGAAAGAUCAUAAAUUAAAAAAAAGAUAAAAAAAAAAUGCGCAUUGACACAAAAAAACAACAAAUGACAGAAAAUUUGCUUGCUGUGUUUGGUAAUAUUCUCUCAUUGUGAGCAAUGAAAUACAAAGGAAUGUGACCAUACAGAUAGCUAGCAUACUUAUGUUUCAUGCCUGAACUCAGAAACUUAAUCUUAGACUCUCACCAUAGAGUGACAUCUGAGACAUGCUUUGAGAGCUAUUUGAGUUUUAAUUUCCUGUACUAGAAAAUUAGAUCUGCUACCUGUACAUGGCUAUAUGCUUUAACAUAUCUACCAACUUGUUCUUUACAGCUUGAAGAUAUUCUUAAUUUCUCUCAAUGUGAAAGUUAUUGUCCUUUAGGAAGGAAUAUGUCUCCUAUAUGACUUACAGCAGCAUCUAAAUUCUGGUGCCUUUGUAAGAAUAAUGUUUCACAUUUCUCUCUUUUAUUAUUAUAUCAUAUUGGUACAAAGUCAAAAGGAAUUCUCUUGCUUAGAAUCUAAAGUUUGAGAAUGCUUUUCCAUUUUCUUACAAAGCAAAGAAGUAUGUGUGCACAUUACAAAGUACUUCUAAAAUUCUAAGUUCAACUGUAAGCAAACUACGUAUAAAAAAAGUGAAAGUAGUCUUUAUUCUCUAGAGUUUUGAGUUUGAUUUUUUCUGUUCUUUCUUAUAUCCUUCUACAUGGUCUCUGGCUGCAAAACUCACAUCACUGAAUGCUAAGUAAAUGGUCAAUAUUAACAAAAACAAAACAUUUCCAUACAGGAUUAUGUCAGUUUACAAGGCCCUGGGACAGUUCUCUCUUUUAGGAGCUAUCAAAAGUGAGUGCGUUUGUGUUCGUCAUAGAAGGUAGACUUUGGUGGUUGUUCAAAACUGCAUUUAUUUCAACAGAUUCUUGCAGCUCCAAAUUCAAGUGGUUGAAUGCAGCUCUGGAACUCAUUACUAUGUACACUGCUUUAUGGCAGUGAUGUUCUGUGGGACUGCUAACCUGCACAGUUUUCAGCGUUAAGUCAGAAAAAAGAAUCUUCCCAUAAAAAAGUGGUGUACAACCUUACUUAGGUGGAAAAGAAGAAUCAAAUUCUGUGCAGGAAGAAAAGACUGCAGUAAAGCUUAUCUCUGUUAGCAGUUAUCACUGUAGACCUUUCUGAAAUAUGCUGGUGAAUACAUAGAAAUUAAAUUAUGCAUGAAACAAUUGGAAAUGAUCUUGAAGGUGUGACAACCCACAGAUAACCAUAAUUCCUUAUAGUUGCAAAGAAUACACCUAAUAAGAUCUUUUUAUGGUUUCUUAAUCUCAUCAUUUGCUCAGAAAACCAGGAAGUCAAAUUGAUGCACUUUCUGUCCAAAUUUUUAAGUUUGCUUAUAUUCACAGUAGUGCAAGCAAAUUAAAUGAAAUGCAUAGAAAUGUCUGCAACCUAAAUUUAAUGAUUGCCAUACUAAAUAUUCAGUUGUGGUUGUCAGGCCGUGAUUGCAUUACUUCUCUCUUGUGGCACACUUCAGUCCACUCUUUUUUACGUUAGUCAUCUUUAAUUCUUGAAAUAUCCUUAUUUUAUAAAUGACAUAUGGCCCUUUUUGAAUGAUAAAGUCAUUAGUUCACACUUAAGACUAAAUUUAUAGUUUAUGUUAAAUUGUAAGCAAAUUAAAAAUGGACUAUUGCAGGAAGCAAAAAUGCAAAUCUCUUUCCUCUGGCAAGACAAAAUUAAAAAGAAAAGAGAGAUCAAAUAUAGUAAUCAGUUAGUCAUUAAAAUGUUGCCCCAAAUGCUCCUCAACAGUGUUAAUAAUCAUGGAGAAGUUAUUAUCCUUCCCUGAUUUUUCAAGAAAUGCACAUAGUUUUAAUUAAAUAUUUAAUUUUCUGAAUUCUUAUCAAGAGAAGAAACAGCUUACAAUGAUGAUUAGAUUUAAUUCCAUUGAUUUCUGCACCAAACAAUAAUAACCCUUUAGAACAUUUCUGCUUUUAUUCAUGCCAUUGUACAAUGGUUUAAAAGCAAACAACAACAAAUGAUUAAAAAGAACCUCUGGACCAAUUUAUUAUGAGCAGGAGAGCAUGCUUUUUUCCAUCUUCUUCAAAGAAAUUUUCCACAUGUUAAUUUUGUUUAAAGCUUUUGUAUUUCAAAGCUCCUGAGAAGUCAGAGAAACUUCUCCAUUCCUCUCAUUACAGUUUUCUUAAACAUUUGCAUCCUCUGGAGUACUUAGAAUUUAUUCUACGGGGAUAAGGAAAAAUUUUGUGACAUUUAAAUGUUCAAAUUUGAGAAGGAGAGAAUUUUGAUUCUUUUCAUAUGUGUAUUUUUUUCUUCAAGACCUUUUUAAGGUCUUCAGACUUCAAAAAAGUUUUUGGAUUUCUGGGUAGAUUCACCCCGGUAAGACUACAGUAAAGCACUUAAGAGAAAACUGGAGAAAACAGUAUUUGCUAGAAUGAUGUUUGAACACCAUGCCCGAAACAAAUCUUUGUUAAUAUUUGGUAGUCCAUGAAUUAAAGCCAACACAUAAAAUGAGUAUUGCAUUUAUUUGCUAGUUUGCAUUAAGUCUACAGGAAUAAAAUAAAUCACAUUUCUAUCACUUACCUAUUCUUCCUUUAUUACUGACAGCUGUUUUAUUCUGAUUUGGUUCAUUUAAAUACAUAAGCUACUUACUCACUCCAUUGCCACGGUGCUCUUUCCAAAACCUGGUGAAACCGUUUAGCAAAUCUGAUAUGUAUGCUAAUGAAAUAUUAGGCAAAAAAAGGAAGCAGAAAUACAUUACUCAGAACAUGACAGCUACUGUUAUAAAAAUAAGGCUAGCAUACAAAUAUACAUUCCAAAAUGUGUAAAUUUUAGGAAGUUUAGUUAUAUCUUCUCAGAAAUGAUAAUCUUCUUUUGGAAGAAGAUGUAAGGCAUUUUGCCUCAUGGGUAUGAGCUCAAACCUUUCUGUAGAGCAUGGGAAAUCUGGACUUAAAAUCAUUCCUUUACAGAAGGGAACUGCAAUGUUGAUACCUUUCUAGCUGUCCUAUUGUGCCAGAAUGUUUCGGUGACCUUGCUUAUUGACUAGGGGUAAAAUAAAUUGGCAUUGUUUUGUUACUUUGUAUUAUUAUUGGUUAACAAUACAUAGUAUUAAAUUGCAGUAAUAUAGAUUUGGUAUUGUGGUAAAACUUGUCAAGAUAAGUUUUACCAACAGUUCUGAAUAUGAAUUAUAUUUUAAUAUACUAAUUGAAUAUGGCAAAGAACUGUUUUUGUGGUUUAAUUCAGCAGGCAGUUAAUCUAUAUAUCACUUUUUGUUCACUUUCCUGCAUUUCACUGAAUAGGAGAGAAAAUUGGAGAAAAAAAAGGGUAGAACUUGGGGAUUGAGAUAAAAGCUAUUGAAUAAAUCAGAAAAGGAAGAGAGAAGUAGCAGUAACAAUAAUAAUAUGUUUGUGUUCUGUUCCCUCCCAGCUCCUUAUGCUCCCCAAGCCCCAUCUCUAGCAGAUCAGUACGAGAAGCUGAGAAACUGAAAUGUCCUUGGCUCUGUGCAGCACUGCUCAGCACAGCUAAAUCAUUGAUGUGUUAUCAGCACUGUUUCUCUCCUAAAGCCAAAACAUAGCAUCAUGCCAGACACUGAUGGAAAUAAACUCUGUCCCAGCUUAAAUCAGGACAACUGUGUAGCUGCUAAAUAGAGAAACAAGAUAGAAUUUAAAUGUCUUAUUUUAUGAUGGCUUUCUUCUAUGUGAUGUUUCCAUAUAACAACUCACACUUCUGCUAGCAAGAUUAGUAGAGCAACAUUAUUGAAUGAACAUCAAUUUGAAAGAAAUCUAUGAAUAUUAUCUUCUUAUUUUUUACUAAGUAAAAUCCAACUUACAGAUUUUAUGUUAAAAAUCCUAAAAUCUGACUUUUAGGAUAGGACAUUCUAAAUGUGCUGUGCUGUCUGAACUCUGUAGACUGCUGUGCUGUCUGACUACCUGUCUCUGAGAAUGGAGCGUCAUGGGGAAAGUGUUCAAAACCUGGUUACACCACAGCCCAAGAUUCCUCAGAAUAAGUGAAGGACAUGCACAGAAACACAAAUGCAAUGAGGGUUCAAGUAGAUUUUCAUUACUUGUAAGCCUACAUCUUGUAGCAAGUAUAUUGUAAAUUUCUCUGAUGAUUCAGUAACCUUUAAAAGAAGAACCUUAAACUUUCAGUCAGCAAAAUGUCUUUCUGAUUAAUUAUAUUUGAAGGAAGCUUUCAAGAUCUUAAAAAUUUCCCUAUGGUAUCUAAGUCUGAAAAAAUGACUGAGUAAAAGACACAGAAGCACAAAAUCUUACUUGCAUAAUGUUUUGCUGUCAAAUGUAUAUUAUCAAGAACAAACCUUUAGUCAUUUACAAAGGAAGGAAAUGCUUCACAGAUAGGCUAAUGGCAAGCAAGAUGUCUACAGUGUAAGUCAGAAUAUGAAAUUGCAGCACUAAUAACUAGUAUUACUUACUAGCACGAGAGCACGGUAACUUUCCUUAAUAAACAACAGAAUGAAUUAUAUCUCCUCUCUAUUUCUCCAAUCCCUCUGGCAAGCAAGUAUGUAUGAAUACCAAAACCUGCUUUCUUGAAAGUAGUUCAUGUUCAAAAUUCAUUCUCUGUAGUAGAAUCUGACAGAUGAAUGUGUAUUUGAUAGACUGUAUUUAUUACAAGAUGUAUAUAUUUUUUUCCAGUCAGCAGUUUUACCAGUGCUGGUGCAGCUACCAGGAAGGGCUAUGCGCUUAAGAAGAUUGAUUAGUUGUGUGACAGAGCAGCAUAUCUACUGCAUUCCUUCCUAUCGGCAUCAGUGAGAUGAGUGAGAAAAGCACUUCAAUUCCAGAAGAAUCUUGAUUUUAAUUGAGAAUGGUAAAUUUGUUGCAGAGUUUGUUUCUAUUUUUUCACCCGAGUGCUAUAUUUCCUCUCUGCUGCACAAGAAAACAUACAAGAUGCCUUGAUGUCUCCCCGGCUCUGCAAGCAGUUGCUAAGCAAGAAAAGGCAGUAUAAUCGGAUAGGUCAUGAUGUAUGGCUGUACUGAAAAUUCAGCAGAUAGAUUCAGAUAGAAAAUGAGACUGGAAAGAACAAUGUUAGCUAAGAAUCACUGUGGAAAACAGCAAAAAUUCUCUCGGUUUUGCAGCAGAGAAGCACGUGGUUCCCUCUGCAGUCUAUAGCGUAAGGCUUCAGCUUUGGACACUCUCAUUGUGUUUGAUUUUAUUGGAUUUAGCAAACUAACGUUCUUUGUCAGAUCAUUCUGGUUGCUCUGGUUUUUUUCUCUGUUAGGCCCAUCUACUAUCUCCCUAC
This is a non-coding RNA of Meleagris gallopavo (turkey), 5799 nucleotides long. Lineage: Eukaryota; Metazoa; Chordata; Aves; Galliformes; Phasianidae. The record is from RefSeq and is a predicted model, not a curated record.